AAUUUUUGACAAUGGGGGAAACCCUGAUCCAGCAAUGCCGCGUGCAGGAUGAAGGCCUUCGGGUUGUAAACUGCUUUUGUACGGAACGAAAAGUCUUGGGCUAAUACCCAGGGAACAUGACGGUACCGUAAGAAUAAGCACCGGAUAACUACGUGCCAGCAGCCGCGGUAAUACGGACGGUGCAAGCGUUAAUCGGAAUUACUGGGCGUAAAGCGUGCGCAGGCGGUUUUGUAAGACAGUGGUGAAAGCCCCGGGCUCAACCUGGGAACUGCCAUUGUGACUGCAAGGCUGGAGUGCGGCAGAGGGGGAUGGAAUUCCGCGUGUAGCAGUGAAAUGCGUAGAUAUGAGGAGGAACACCGAUGGCGAAGGCAAUCCACUGGGCCUGCACUGACGCUCAUGCACGAAAGCGUGGGGAGCAAACAGG
RNAcentral lists this ribosomal RNA (424 nucleotides) under uncultured bacterium. RNAcentral's name for it is "partial 16S ribosomal RNA". It matches the Rfam family "Bacterial small subunit ribosomal RNA", at positions 360 to 776 of the family's 1533-position model. The record is from RNAcentral.